Vespa crabro (European hornet) is the source of this 1260-nucleotide long non-coding RNA. RefSeq lists it as uncharacterized. NCBI's taxonomy places the organism in Eukaryota, Metazoa, Arthropoda, Insecta, Hymenoptera, Vespidae. The record is from RefSeq and is a predicted model, not a curated record. The transcript has 2 exons.
UAUAUAUAUAUAUAUAUAUAUAUAUAUAUAUAUAUAUAUAUAUUAAUAAAUAUUAAUUAUCUGAUCGAUAGUUUAAAUCUAGGGCAUUUAAUCUUGAAGUUGCAUGUUCGAGAAGGAUAGAGAAGUAAAAUAAGUAAUGACGCGACAACUAUAAAGUCAUUCUUUGACUUUUUUGACGACUUAAGGCGACUAUUUCUGUGCCUAUCACUACAAGAAUUCUCAACACGAAUCUUGUUGCCGCUGUAAACAAUUUGGCAACGUCGCUAAGGCUUAAACCGGGCAGAAGGAAUGGAGCCUAGCAACCGUCAGGGGGUCAAUAAACGAGGUCAAAUCACGAAGUACCUGCGCAGUACGACGGAAAUAAAGAUGAUGCGAACGGAUGUAUCUUCAUACAUAUGUCGACAAAUAUAUCUUUAAGUUUUAGUAAAACUUUCCUUAAUAAAUGAUGUAAGAUUUUUUGUUCCAAAGAAGAAUGUAAGACGGUAAAAAAAAGAAAAAAAAAAAAGAAGAGAAAAUGAAAUCGAAGGUUAAAAUAUGUAUAUAUAUUCAUAAACUUUUUCAAAAUAAAAUUUGAAUAAAUCUUCAUCAAUGAUGCAACUUUGUGAAGAGAGAAAAUAUAUAUAUUAUAUAUAUAUUCAUGUAUGUAUGAACGUACAUUUGCUUGUAUAUUACAUAAAUAUAUUGUUUUUCUGCUAUGUGAGAUAAAUCAUUAAUUUUCCCCAAUUGCCUCAUUCAUCCUACUAUGCUCUCUGUCACUUAAACAUCCCUUUUCCUCUCCCUCCCUCCCUCCCUCUCUCUCUCUCUCUCUCUCUCUCUCUCUCUUUUUCAUUCAAUUUUAGAAUCAGAAGGUUGAAAGCUAUGAAAAAGAGAAAUGAUGAUGGAUAUUAGGAAAAUUUGGAAGAGGUCAGUUGUACAAAUUAAUUUCUAUAGCCCGUAGGUAAAUUUUAAUGAAUAUAGGAGGUAGAUACGAGAGAGAGAGAGAGAGAGAGAGAGAGAGAGAGACAGGGAGGAAGAGAGAGAGUAAAUGUCAGAGAGCGCAAUGGAGAAUAUGAGGGAAUUGUGGAAAAGGGGGAGAGAGAGAGAGAGAGAGAAAGAUAAAUAGAUAGACAGAAACAGAGAGAGAGAGAGAGAGAAAGAGAGAGAGAGAGAAUAGCAGUAGCAAAAGGACAAUAGCUGGAAGGGAGAAGGGCGUUGCGCACAACAGUAGCCGGGAUAUAGGAGGUGUGAUACGAGAGAGAGAGAAAGAGAGAGAGAGAGAGA